GAUGAAGAACGUAGCGAAAUGCGAUAAGUAAUGUGAAUUGCAGAAUUCAGUGAAUCAUCGAAUCUUUGAACGCACAUUGCGCCCCUUGGUAUUCCGGGGGGCAUGCCUGUUCGAGCGCCAUUUCAACCCUCAAGCUUCUGCUUGGUCUUGGGCCGUGCCGGCAACGGCUGGCCUUAAAACUAGUGGCGGUGCCAUCGAGCUCUACGCGUAGUAAUUCUAUCUCGCGUCUGGGCUUCGGUGGACGCUGGCCAGCAACCCCCAAUUUUCUAUGGUUGACCUCGGAUCAGGUAGGGAUACCCGCUGAACUUAAGCAUAUCAAUAAGCGGAGGA
RNAcentral lists this unclassified non-coding RNA (330 nucleotides) under soil metagenome. RNAcentral's name for it is "partial contains 5.8S ribosomal RNA, internal transcribed spacer 2, and large subunit ribosomal RNA". The stretch from base 1 to 120 matches the Rfam family "5.8S ribosomal RNA", at positions 35 to 154 of the family's 154-position model. The record is from RNAcentral.